Molecule: ribosomal RNA, 855 nt
Filed under: uncultured organism
Description: bacterial SSU rRNA
Rfam family: Bacterial small subunit ribosomal RNA
Source: RNAcentral
GAAAGGGACCUAGCGUAGUUCGGAAUUACUGGGCUUAAAGAGUUCGUAGGUGGUUGAAAAAGUUAGUGGUGAAAUCCCAGAGCUUAACUCUGGAACUGCCAUUAAAACUUUUCAGCUAGAGUAUGAUAGAGGAAAGCAGAAUUUCUAGUGUAGAGGUGAAAUUCGUAGAUAUUAGAAAGAAUACCAAUUGCGAAGGCAGCUUUCUGGAUCAUUACUGACACUGAGGAACGAAAGCAUGGGUAGCGAAGAGGAUUAGAUACCCUCGUAGUCCAUGCCGUAAACGAUGUGUGUUAGACGUUGGAAAUUUAUUUUCAGUGUCGCAGGGAAACCGAUAAACACACCGCCUGGGGAGUACGACCGCAAGGUUAAAACUCAAAUGAAUUGACGGGGACCCGCACAAGUAGUGGAGCAUGUGGUUUAAUUCGAAGAUACGCGCAGAACCUUACCAACACUUGACAUGUUCGUCGCGACUCUAAGAGAUUAGAGUUUUCGGUUCGGCCGGACGAAACACAGGUGCUGCAUGGCUGUCGUCAGCUCGUGUCGUGAGAUGUUGGGUUAAGUCCCGCAACGAGCGCAACCCUCACUUUUAGUUGCCAUCAUUAAGUUGGGCACUCUGAAAGAACCGCCAGUGAUAAGCUGGAGGAAGGUGGGGAUGACGUCAAGUCCUCAUGGCCCUUACGUGUUGGGCUACACACGUGCUACAAUGGCAUCUACAACAGGAAGCAAGACUGCGAAGUUAAGCAAAUCCCUAAAAGAUACCUCAGUUCGGAUUGCACUCUGCAACUCGAGUGCAUGAAGCUGGAAUUACUAGUAAUCGUGGAUCAGCGUGCCACGGUGAAUGCGUUCCCGGGUCUU